AUCUAGGUGUGCACAGGUGAAACUGAUUGGACAAACGUCGGGUGGAGAGACUGGUGGUGACAACAUUUUUUGAGCGCUGCUUACCCAACCCUUGAGUUUAGUUUUUAUAGCUUUAUAUGUCGUUAAACUUGUUUUUGUUAACUUUGGAAAGAAAACCCUUUUUUUUCUGCAAAGAAAGCUAUUUUUGGAGAGACUUAAGUUGUAGUUAGAAGUACGUAUGAAAGUGCUCCACCUGUCCUGGCUCUGCCCACGGCCCUUGGUUGUGAACCUGGAAAGCCUGCAAAGGUCGAUAGAAGCGACGGCGUGUGUUUUGGUGAGAUUCUAAAGUCACACCUGAAAGAUGGAUGGCUGCGGUGAACGCCAGUAUCUCAGAGAGAAGCCAAUGGAGAAGCCAAGAUCACAAAUGCCUUUUUGACAGCUACAGGUGGAGGUGCCAUAAUCCACUGAAGUCUCCGGUUUGAACCGUCUACUCUCAGAAUGAAUCAUGGCACAAAGGAGCACCAGAAAGUACUGUUAGUGCAUGAACCCUGCACCUGGCACGGGGCAAAAGAAGGUCAAAACCGAAUGGACCGGCAAUGAAGUGAUGCGAAAAUUUAACAUGAACCUGAUCCCGCCGUGCGGAAACGUGGACAUUCCAGACUAACCCACAAGACUCUAGAGCAGUGGAGACACCUUCUCUGGACUGACGAGUCACGCUUUUCCAUUUGGCAAUCUGUUGGACCAGUCCGGGUUUGGAGGUUACCAGGAGAACGGAGUUGGGCUUGGCCCCUUAGUUGCAGUGAAAGGAACUUCGAAUGCUCCAGGAUACCAAAACAUGUUGGACAAUUCCAUGGGAUGGCACCUCAAGUUCAUAUAAUAUGAAAAGAAUAUGCUGUAGCAAUAACGCCUCAGAUGAUGACAUUUUCCAAGUAGUGGAGGGCAGCAUGACCUCCUCCCAUCUGGUUUCCUCGCCCUGCCUUUUCGACACAACGCACCUGAGGCGUCGGUAGCCCAUGGCGUCAGGGCUCAUGAAUGAAGGCGGCACUUGCAGGGUCUCGUGCACAACACUUCCGCCGAGAGAGACUGUCACAAGACGACAGAAAGUCACGUAAAAAAAAAAAAGGGUGCGGGUUGGAGCUCGGAGAGACUUUGCCUCAUUGUGCUGUUGUCACUGAUCCAUUUUUCAAGCCAGUCAAUGAAAACAGGUGGAGGUGGAGGUUCACCGAGUUCAUGCGGUGUCAGUCACUUGUAAGUUAUCACCUAAACGCAGGCUGUCAUGCUCAGAGACAAGCAGCCAAUUGUCGUGAUGGGCGGAUCGCCCCAAUUAUGCUUCUUUCCCUCUGAGAAUAUCUCUGAGACACACACGUCCUCACAUCUACCAAAGUUCAUUGACUUGCAAACAUAACAGUGGCGUUAGUAUUUCAUUACUGACAUCAUUACACAUUAUUAAAUAUAAUAACUUGCAACUGAAAGUCAUUUUUGAAAAAAUAUCUGCUGUGUGCCGUUUGAUUUUUUUAUUGAAUAUCAUAAUAUCUAAUAAAUAUUAUUAUUUAUACCCGGACUGCGAACCUUUGGGUGUCCCACGAUUCGAUUCAAGCUCAUGAGAUGCGAUGCGAGUGUAAGCCACUUUAGGACAAAAUGUAGCGCGACAGGUCGUAGCUGAAAUGAUCACAUCUACACGGCAGGUAGCACCACAGGAGCGACAAUACAAUGAUCCAGCAACUGACACAAGACAAAGCAGGUACAAAUAGGAGCGGGCUGAUUGGCAACAGGUGUGACCAGGUGCUAAUCAGCCGCGGCUGAGGAGGAACACAGCACUCAGGGAACAAGACAGGAAGCUGACAAAAUAAGAGCACUAGACAGGAACUAAGGACAGGAAAUACUAAAACUGUCAGCGGCAAGCCUGACAGCAUGCUUACUUUUACCGCAUGCCUUCGGUAAGCGCCGGAGUGAGAAGAGGUUUUAAAUUCAUUAGCGCCCCAGCUAAAGGAAAUACGGUAUAAAAGGCUUUUAAUUUUUUGCGUCUCCAGAAUAAUUUUUGGGGUGUACAUUUCGGGUUGCCGACCCCUGGCCUGCCUUAUGGCGACUUCCACAUGUCAGCUUCAUUAUGUCACUACAGCCGUUCACCGCCUAACAGUUGACCAGCGUUAUCACAGGAUGUACAUUAGAUACUGUAUCGACACCCUGACCCCUGCCCCUGACUGUGGACUGUAGAUUACAAGGGCCGGGGCCUCCUCCACCCAAGUAUCUUUCUCCCCCCCCUCUGCAAUGUCUCAGCUGUUCCUCGCUGCCAGGCCUCUCCGACUGAGUGCCUGCUCUGUUAUGGGUUCAUUGGGCUGGUAUGCGGCAGGAAUCUUUGGAUCAAGGUAAUUUCACACUCUUCAACUUUUUCCCAGGCUGUUAAGCCUCCCUCCACCUCUGUGCCACUCCGAGGAGGAGAUAGGGAGCGACACAUGUAGCCGUUAAAACACACACACACACACACACACACACACACACACACACACACACACACACACACACACACACUUGUGCCUGACGCCACCAGCAAAGCCCAGGCAAAGAUGUCAAAGAUCGGGCCGAGAAAUUACAGUCCGACACCGCCGUUUCCCGAAAGAGUAAUAUUAUCGCAGACUGAUGUGUGUUCUGUGUACUGCAUAGGUGUCCAAGUCACGGCCCGCGGGCCAGAUAAGACCCCCGGAUUAAUUCUAUAUGGCCCCCAGCAGCGACGUGCGGUGAGGUUCAUGGCUGGUGAGGCACUGACUUCAUCACAGUCAGAUUUACAAACAUAUGAACCCUAAAGAGUAUCUUAGUCACCAUUUGAUUGGCAGCAGUUAACGGGUUAUGUUUAAAAGCUCUUACCAGCCUUCUUCUCAGCGGCCUAGUGGUUAGAGUGUCCGCCUUGAGAUCGCUAGGUUGGGACUUCAAACCAAAGACUAUAAAAAAAAGUGGGACCCGUUGCCUGCCUGCUUGGCACUCAGAAUCAAGGGUUGGAA
This is an RNA transcript of Nerophis ophidion (straightnose pipefish), 2975 nucleotides long. RefSeq lists it as uncharacterized. The record is from RefSeq and is a predicted model, not a curated record. The transcript has 7 exons. NCBI's taxonomy places the organism in Eukaryota, Metazoa, Chordata, Actinopteri, Syngnathiformes, Syngnathidae.